This 764-nucleotide ribosomal RNA is filed under the name uncultured cyanobacterium. RNAcentral's name for it is "bacterial SSU rRNA". It matches the Rfam family "Bacterial small subunit ribosomal RNA", at positions 65 to 870 of the family's 1533-position model. The record is from RNAcentral. Lineage: Bacteria; Bacillati; Cyanobacteriota.
AACGGUCUUUUAGGAGACAGUGGCGGACGGGUGAGUAACGCGUAAGAAUCUACCUUCAGGUUGGGGACAACCACUGGAAACGGUGGCUAAUACCGAAUGUGCCGAGAGGCGAAAGGCUUGCUGCCUGAAGAAGAGCUUGCGUCUGAUUAGCUAGUUGGUAGUGUAAGAGACUACCAAGGCGACGAUCAGUAGCUGGUCUGAGAGGAUGAUCAGCCACACUGGGACUGAGACACGGCCCAGACUCCUACGGGAGGCAGCAGUGGGGAAUUUUCCGCAAUGGGCGAAAGCCUGACGGAGCAAUACCGCGUGAGGGAGGAAGGCUCUUGGGUUGUAAACCUCUUUUCUCAGGGAAGAACAGAAUGACGGUACCUGAGGAAUAAGCAUCGGCUAACUCCGUGCCAGCAGCCGCGGUAAUACGGAGGAUGCAAGCGUUAUCCGGAAUGAUUGGGCGUAAAGGGUCCGCAGGUGGCAUUGUAAGUCUGCUGUUAAAGAGUUUGGCUCAACCAAAUAAGAGCAGUGGAAACUACAAAGCUAGAGUGUGGUCGGGGCAGAGGGAAUUCCUGGUGUAGCGGUGAAAUGCGUAGACAUCAGGAAGAACACCAGUGGCGAAGGCGCUCUGCUAGGCCGAGACUGACACUGAGGGACGAAAGCUAGGGGAGCGAAUGGGGAUUAGAUACCCCAGUAGUCCUAGCCGUUAAACGAUGGAUACUAGGCGUAGCUCGUAUCGACCCGAGCUGUGCCGGAGCUAACGCGUUAAGUAUCCC